GGUGGUGCAUGGCCGUUCUUAGUUGGUGGAGCGAUUUGUCUGGUUAAUUCCGAUAACGAACGAGACUCUAGCCUAUUAAAUAGACGCGAUAUUUUCAAGUAUUACGCUCUUCUUAGAGGGACAAGCAGCUUCUAGCUGCACGAGAUUGUGCAAUAACAGGUCUGUGAUGCCCUUAGAUGUCCGGGGCUGCACGCGCGCUACACUGUGGAUAACAGUGUGCGUCUCAACCAUGUCUGAAAAGACUUGGUAAACACGAAUUAUUUCCGUGCUUGGGAUAGGGGAUUGAAAUUAUUUCCCUUGAACGAGGAAUUUCUAGUAAGUGCGAGUCAUAAGCUCGCGCUGAUUACGUCCCUGCCCUUUGUA
This 363-nucleotide ribosomal RNA is filed under the name Mermithidae sp. WA-2018. RNAcentral describes it as "SSU rRNA". It matches the Rfam family "Eukaryotic small subunit ribosomal RNA", at positions 1276 to 1664 of the family's 1831-position model. Lineage: Eukaryota; Metazoa; Nematoda; Enoplea; Mermithida; Mermithidae. The record is from RNAcentral.